Molecule: small nuclear RNA, 105 nt
Filed under: Nicotiana sylvestris (wood tobacco)
Lineage: Eukaryota; Viridiplantae; Streptophyta; Magnoliopsida; Solanales; Solanaceae
Also listed under: 1 other name
Source: RNAcentral
ACGAGAGUAACAUUUGGUCUAUUGAAUAUUAGAACAAUAUAGAGAAGAUUAUCAUGGCCCUUGCGCAAGAAUGAUGCAUACAAAUGAGAAAUGGUCUAAAUUUUU